UACUCCUACGGGAGGCAGCAGUAGGGAAUCUUCCGCAAUGGACGAAAGUCUGACGGAGCAACGCCGCGUGAGUGAUGAAGGCUUUCGGGUCGUAAAACUCUGUUGUUAGGGAAGAACAAGUACGAGAGUAACUGCUCGUACCUUGACGGUACCUAACCAGAAAGCCACGGCUAACUACGUGCCAGCAGCCGCGGUAAUACGUAGGUGGCAAGCGUUAUCCGGAAUUAUUGGGCGUAAAGCGCGCGCAGGCGGUUUCUUAAGUCUGAUGUGAAAGCCCACGGCUCAACCGUGGAGGGUCAUUGGAAACUGGGGAACUUGAGUGCAGAAGAGAAAAGCGGAAUUCCACGUGUAGCGGUGAAAUGCGUAGAGAUGUGGAGGAACACCAGUGGCGAAGGCGGCUUUUUGGUCUGUAACUGACGCUGAGCGCGAAGUCACCCCC
Molecule: ribosomal RNA, 439 nt
Filed under: Bacillaceae bacterium
Lineage: Bacteria; Bacillati; Bacillota; Bacilli; Caryophanales; Bacillaceae
Description: bacterial SSU rRNA
Rfam family: Bacterial small subunit ribosomal RNA
Source: RNAcentral